CAAUAUGUCGUGCGCAAUGACUUUGCUAACUUGAGCAUGGUCGUUUCCUCCGAGUUAUUGCACUUAUUUGCGCGUUUGUUCAAGGCGUGGGAUGUGCUUCACUCCAGAUUCUACCUGAGCUAGCGCACGACAUUUAUUGUUGAAAAAGGCUGCUGAGAACGACAAAGGGUAGAGAUGAGCCGGCACCCAGUCUUUUAUAAGAUGGAAAAGACUGCCCCCUAUCGCAUGUUAAAUACGCUUCGCCAGUGCCUAUAGAAAAUAGCGGAGAGACUGCACGAUCCUCGCAGAUGAUGCAAAGCUUGACAGAUGUCCCUGAACGUCUCCAAAUGCAGUUUCCUUACGGAAAUCUCCUGUCCCAUGUUCCAUUGAACAGCGGGGCCAUUUUUCUGGUUAACAACUUUAAUGGUGAUUUCAAGUGGUCGAUUCGGCCCUCCGAGCCGGAUCGCAAGGUGGACCACAUCCGAGUCAGAGAAAGCCCUCGCCAUCACAACGACAUAUCGCUUUACAGAGGGAAGGCCGGUCCCCGCCAGAAACGUUUGCCCAGCGUUGAAAAGCAGCAGGCUCCGCUAAAGUCUCCAACCUCUCCUUCAACUGGAUCUCAAUAAAGGAUCGCGUGUUUCUAACUCAAUAAAUCAAGAAUGUUUGGCCGGCUACAAAUAAUCGGGGACAGAAAUAUUUCUUUUGCGCAGACAAAUUUCAACACAGCAACUUACUGGUAAAGCAUUCGUCU
Long non-coding RNA from Dermacentor albipictus, 730 nucleotides. RefSeq lists it as uncharacterized. The record is from RefSeq and is a predicted model, not a curated record. NCBI's taxonomy places the organism in Eukaryota, Metazoa, Arthropoda, Arachnida, Ixodida, Ixodidae.